AAAUUGAAGAGUUUGAUCAUGGCUCAGAUUGAACGCUGGCGGCAGGCCUAACACAUGCAAGUCGAACGGUAACAGGAAGCAGCUUGCUGCUUCGCUGACGAGUGGCGGACGGGUGAGUAAUGUCUGGGAAACUGCCUGAUGGAGGGGGAUAACUACUGGAAACGGUAGCUAAUACCGCAUAACGUCGCAGGACCAAAGAGGGGGACCUUCGGGCCUCUUGCCAUCAGAUGUGCCCAGAUGGGAUUAGCUUGUUGGUGAGGUAACGGCUCACCAAGGCGACGAUCCCUAGCUGGUCUGAGAGGAUGACCAGCCACACUGGAACUGAGACACGGUCCAGACUCCUACGGGAGGCAGCAGUGGGGAAUAUUGCACAAUGGGCGCAAGCCUGAUGCAGCCAUGCCGCGUGUAUGAAGAAGGCCUUCGGGUUGUAAAGUACUUUCAGCGGGGAGGAAGGGGAUAAGGCUAAUAACCUUGUU
RNAcentral lists this ribosomal RNA (476 nucleotides) under Salmonella enterica. Its description in RNAcentral is "bacterial SSU rRNA". It matches the Rfam family "Bacterial small subunit ribosomal RNA", at positions 1 to 473 of the family's 1533-position model. The record is from RNAcentral. Lineage: Bacteria; Pseudomonadati; Pseudomonadota; Gammaproteobacteria; Enterobacterales; Enterobacteriaceae.